Molecule: long non-coding RNA, 378 nt
Filed under: Panax ginseng (ginseng)
Lineage: Eukaryota; Viridiplantae; Streptophyta; Magnoliopsida; Apiales; Araliaceae
Description: long non-coding RNA (PGIN_LNC003079)
Source: RNAcentral
UUCUCAAUAUUGGGAUAUUUAUUGUUCCAGAGUACUUCCUUGAGGCGUGUUACAAUUGUACCAAGUUUGAAGAGGCUGAACAUGAAAAUGAUUUCUGGUAUCAUGCAGCCGCUGCAUAUGAUGAUGACCAAGAAGUUAGUGAACCUCAAGGGCUGCAACAAAAUAUUUAAACAACAAAGGAGAGGGAUUGUUACCUCCUUUAGUAAUGAAGCUCAGUCAAGAAAAUAAGUCAAGAGGAUCAAAUCUGAAGUGAAGCAAGGAUUCAUGAAGGAGGAGGAAGUGUUGGAACUUCCUGAACUACAGAAGAGAACUUGCUGUUAAAGCAGCCUCACAUGCUGCAAAUCGGACCAGAAAAUGAUCACACAACACUAUAAUUCC